RNAcentral lists this ribosomal RNA (440 nucleotides) under uncultured bacterium. RNAcentral describes it as "partial 16S ribosomal RNA". It matches the Rfam family "Bacterial small subunit ribosomal RNA", at positions 338 to 795 of the family's 1533-position model. The record is from RNAcentral.
CCUACGGGAGGCUGCAGUGGGGGAUAUUGCACAAUGGGGGAAACCCUGAUGCAGCGACGCCGCGUGAGGGAAGAAGGAUUUCGGUAUGUAAAGCUCUGUCAGCAGGGAAGAAAAUCACAGUAUCUGACCGAGAAGCCCCGGCUAACUACCUGCCAGCAGACGCGGGAAUACGUGGGGGGCAAACGUUAUCCGGGUUUUCUGGGUGUAAAAGGAGCCUAGACGGUUAUGCAAGGCUGGAGGGAAAGCGCGGGGGCCAACCCCGGGACUGCUUUGGAAACUGUGUAACUGGAGUACAGGAGGGGCAGGCGGAAUUCCUGGUGUAGCGGUGAAAUGCGUAGAUAUCAGGAGGAACACCGGCGGCGAAGGCGGCCUUCUGGACUGAAACUGACGUUGAGGCACGAAAGCGUGGGGAGCAAACAGGAUUAGAUACCCUGGUAGUC